This 214-nucleotide long non-coding RNA is filed under the name Manihot esculenta (cassava). RNAcentral describes it as "long non-coding RNA (MESC_LNC004944)". The record is from RNAcentral. Lineage: Eukaryota; Viridiplantae; Streptophyta; Magnoliopsida; Malpighiales; Euphorbiaceae.
GGGUUAUGGGAAGGGGUCAAAUUACAUAAUUGAGAAUUUUUGAGAAUACAUUCCCUGUCUGCAACGCAUUUGUUUCUUUUAUAAAAUGUCAAAAUUGCCCAUAUGUGAUUGAGACCUUAUCUUGCGUUGCCCUUCCAGGGCAGGUAAGGUGAAGUUUCUUUAUGUGAUUGACCUAAUCAGGUGAGGCUAACAAAAGUUUAUGGUCUACCAUGAC